AACGAACGCUGGCGGCAGGCCUAACACAUGCAAGUCGAGCGAGCAUUUCGGUGCUAGCGGCGGACGGGUGAGUAACGCGUGGGAACGUGCCCUUUUCUGCGGAAUAGUCCUGGGAAACUGGGGGUAAUACCGCAUACGCCCUUUUGGGGAAAGAUUUAUCGGAGAAGGAUCGGCCCGCGUUGGAUUAGGUAGUUGGUGGGGUAAUGGCCCACCAAGCCGACGAUCCAUAGCUGGUUUGAGAGGAUGAUCAGCCACACUGGGACUGAGACACGGCCCAGACUCCUACGGGAGGCAGCAGUGGGGAAUCUUAGACAAUGGGGGCAACCCUGAUCUAGCCAUGCCGCGUGAGUGAUGAAGGCCUUAGGGUUGUAAAGCUCUUUCAGCUGGGAAGAUAAUGACGGUACCAGCAAAAGAAGCCCCGGCUAACUCCGUG
Molecule: ribosomal RNA, 433 nt
Filed under: uncultured bacterium
Lineage: Bacteria
Description: partial 16S ribosomal RNA
Rfam family: Bacterial small subunit ribosomal RNA
Source: RNAcentral